CAGUCGCCAGCGGGAAUACGGAGGAUCCAAGCGUUAUCCGGAAUCAUUGGGUUUAAAGGGUCCGUAGGCGGUCUUGUAAGUCAGUGGUGAAAGCCCAUCGCUCAACGGUGGAACGGCCAUUGAUACUGCAGGACUUGAAUUAUUGGGAAGUAACUAGAAUAUGUAGUGUAGCGGUGAAAUGCUUAGAGAUUACAUGGAAUACCAAUUGCGAAGGCAGGUUACUACCAAUUGAUUGACGCUGAUGGACGAAAGCGUGGGUAGCGAACAGGAUUAGAUACCCGCGUAGUCCCUGUCUCUUAUU
RNAcentral lists this ribosomal RNA (301 nucleotides) under uncultured bacterium. Its description in RNAcentral is "partial 16S ribosomal RNA". It matches the Rfam family "Bacterial small subunit ribosomal RNA", at positions 509 to 808 of the family's 1533-position model. The record is from RNAcentral.